RNAcentral lists this ribosomal RNA (390 nucleotides) under uncultured bacterium. RNAcentral describes it as "bacterial SSU rRNA". It matches the Rfam family "Bacterial small subunit ribosomal RNA", at positions 123 to 507 of the family's 1533-position model. The record is from RNAcentral.
AACCUGCCCACCACUUGGGGGAUAACCUUGCGAAAGUAAGACUAAUACCCCAAUGACGUCUCUAGAAGGCAUCUGAAAGGGAUUAAAGAUUUAUCCGGUGAUGGAUGGGGAUGCGUCUGAUUAGCUUGUUGCGGGGUAACGGCCCACCAAGGCGACGAUCAGUAGGGGUUCUGAGAGGAAGGUCCCCCACAUUGGAACUGAGACACGGUCCCAAACUCCUACGGGAGGCAGCAGUGAGGAAUAUUGGUCAAUGGGCGAGAGCCUGAACCAGCCAAGUAGCGUGCAGGAUGACGGCCCUAUGGGUUGUAAACCUGCUUUUAUAAGGGAAUAAAGUGAGUCUCGUGAGACUUUUUGCAUGUACCUUAUGAAUAAGGACCGGCUAAUUCCGUG